This 65-nucleotide transfer RNA is filed under the name human oral metagenome. It matches the Rfam family "tRNA", at positions 5 to 66 of the family's 71-position model. From Rfam's summary of the family: Transfer RNA (tRNA) molecules are approximately 80 nucleotides in length. The record is from RNAcentral.
GGUGUAGCUCAACGGAUAGAGCGGGGGACUUCUAAUCCCAAGGUUGCAGGUUCGAGUCCUGUCAC